This 357-nucleotide unclassified non-coding RNA is filed under the name soil metagenome. Its description in RNAcentral is "partial contains 5.8S ribosomal RNA, internal transcribed spacer 2, and large subunit ribosomal RNA". The stretch from base 1 to 120 matches the Rfam family "5.8S ribosomal RNA", at positions 35 to 154 of the family's 154-position model. The record is from RNAcentral.
GAUGAAGAACGUAGUGAAAUGCGAUAAGUAAUGUGAAUUGCAGAAUUCAGUGAAUCAUCGAAUCUUUGAACGCACAUUGCGCCCGUCAGUAUUCUGGCGGGCAUGCCUGUUCGAGCGUCAUUACGCCCCUCAAGUCCCCUGUGGACUUGGUGUUGGGGAUCGGCGAGGCUGGUUUUCCAGCACAGCCGUCCCUUAAAUUAAUUGGCGGUCUCGCCGUGGCCCUCCUCUGCGCAGUAGUAAAACACUCGCAACAGGAGCCCGGCGCGGUCCACUGCCGUAAAACCCCCCAACUUUUUAUAGUUGACCUCGAAUCAGGUAGGACUACCCGCUGAACUUAAGCAUUCAAUAAGCGGAGGA